UCACUUGGGAGGAGUUAUUAUCAAGACCACCAAUAGACUCAAAGACUGUGCUUCUAAGUGUUUGCAUCCCAUUUAAGAAAGAUCAAAGUUCUCACCAAACUCAUUCUAGAUUUUUGUUUGAAACCUAUCGAGCGGCUCCACGACCUCAUGGGAAUGCAUUGGCAUAUGUAAAUGCUGCAUUCCAGGCUGAUGUUUCUCACUGCAAUAACAGCGUCCUUAUAAACAAUAUCUAUUUGGCGUUUGGUGCGUAUGGCACAAAACAUGCAACAAGGGCUAAAAAGGUAGAAGAAUGUCUAACGGGGAAAAUGAUGAGUGUACAUGUUUUGUAUGAAGCACUUAAAUUAGUCAAAUUAGCGGUGGUACCGGAAGAUGGCACUUUACACCCUGAGUACAGAUCAAGCUUGGCCGUCAGUUAUGUUUUUGAGUUUCUUUAUCCCUUAACUGAUGUUCAUCCUUCUAUUUCUGGUGGUUUACUGGAUGGAAUUAAUGACAUCUCAGACAAGGAAGUUUCGGAAAGUAGUAAUAAUGGUUGCAUUAGUCAGGGGAGAAAACAAAAACUGCUAUCUUCUUCUAAGCAGGUCGUGGAGUUCAGUACGGAGUACUCUCCAGUAGGUGAACCGUUGAAGAAGAUUGGAGCUGCCAUGCAAGCUGCUGGUUUGUUAUCCCCUUUUAAUAUUUUAUUUCAUCUUGUGCAUGUUAACUACAACAAUUUUUCCAGUCCUUGACUUCUGGUUUUUGACAUUUAAGGCAUCUAUGUUGUUUGGACACUUCAAAAAUGUUAGCAUCUAUGUUGUUUGGACAACGUUUUUGGAGGAUCCAGCAGCAUAGUUAAAUUGAAAAUGAUAUCUGAUAUUUAAAGUGAAAUUACACUACUAAAGUAAUAGCAAGUACAGGAGGGAAGGUCUAUUCUAAGAGAUAUGAAAUCGGGGAAAUAGUUUACUUUCUAUCAGCUUUGGAUAAAACAUUGCGUUAAGAUUUAUUCAACACCUGUGGUACAACUUUUGUUACCAUUCUUUGGGGUGUUAAUACAUAUUUUUCCCAAACUUUGUUGUGUGUUUUGGAUUCCGUUUUCAGGUGUUACCAAUUGGUCAUUCUUCUCCUUUUUUGUUGCCAUUGUUGUCAUGUAUUCCUCUUGCCAUGUUUUUGUUUUUCUUAAAUACAAAAUAGCUUAUCUGCACACCAGUUUAACUAUAACUUUGUGUCUGCAACAUUCUGAACUUUAGGUGUGCUGGUUUACAUAAUAUUUUUCAGGCGAAGCUGUUUAUGUAGAUGACAUUCCUUCACCACCAAACUGCUUGCAUGGAGCGUUUAUCUACAGUACAAAGCCAUUAGCUGGUGUCAAGGGAAUCCAGCUUGAGCCUAAUCAUUUAACAGACACCACCAUAAUUACAUACAAAGAUAUCCCAACAGGAGGGGCAAAUAGAGGAGCUGUUACACCAUUUGGCUCCGAGCCCCUAUUUGCUGAAGAUCUCUCCCGCUGUGCUGGUGACAGAAUUGCAUUUGUGGUGAGCACUUCAAGUUUCUUUCUGCUGAGAUUGGUUUUUAUGCAAUGUUAAUUUCUCAUACACUAAAAAAACAUUGAAAUUUUGAACUUUUUUCCUUAUGUUGUUGAAACACCAUAGGUUGCUGAUAGUCAGAGGUCUGCAGAUGUGGCUGCAAGAACUGCCCUCAUUGAAUACGACACUACAAAUGUAGAUUCAGCCAUUUUAACUGUUGAGGAAGCUGUUGAGAAAUCUAGUUAUAUCCAAGUCCCUCCACCUUUUCAGCCUGAACAGAUUGGUGAUUUCUCAAAAGGAAUGGCUGAAGCUGAUCAAAAAAUUCUCUCUGCUGAGGUACUUUUGUUUUCUCUACUGUUCAUAUCUGUUUUUUGUUGCUCGGAUUCUCCAAAAUCAUUGUGGUACCCAUAGUGGAUCCUCCAAAAUGCACUAUUGGAGGAUUCGGCACACACCUGGUGGGCAUAUUUGAAGAGACUGAGAACAUAGCAUUGUUCCAAUGGUUUCCUAAAUUUGAUUCCUAGAUGGUGAUGUAUGCUAAAGGUUCAAACAUAUUACUUAUCGUUUCUUUUAAUAUCCAUUUUCCAGUUAAGAUUCGGUUCCGAGUACCAUUUUUAUAUGGAGACACAGACUGCCCUCGCAAUUCCAGAUGAAGACAACUGCAUGGUUGUUUAUACUUCAAGCCAGUGCCCUGAGAAUUCACAGAGUGUAAUUGCCAGUUGUCUUGGUGUUCCUGCACACAACAUCCGCGUAAUUACAAGAAGGCUUGGAGGUGCCUUUGGGGGCAAGUUUGUCAAAGCAAUGCCUGUGAGUAUACGAAAAAGAAAUAGUAAUAGUAACAAUUUUCUGACAGUGAUGUUAAAGUUUAUGUAUAAUUCUAGGUUUCCACAGCCUGUGCACUAGCAGCAUACAAGUUGAGAAGACCUGUCAGGAUAUAUGUCAACCGGAACAGUGACAUGAUAAUGACAGGAGGACGGCACCCGAUGAAAGUAACAUACAGUGUAGGAUUCAAGUCGAGCGGAAAGAUCACAGCAUUACACCUUGAUAUAUUGAUAAAUGCUGGGAUCACAGAUGAUUUAAGCCCCGUCAUACCAUUAUCUCUGAUGAAUACACUAAAAAAAUAUAAUUGGGGUGCCUUGUCUUUUGAUAUACAAGUAUGCAAGACAAAUCUCACCAGCAAAACGAUCAUGCGGGGUCCUGGGGAGGUGCAAGGAUCUUAUAUCGCCGAAGCUAUAGUAGAGCACGUCGCAAGUUUACUGUCGAUUGAGGUGGACUCGGUCAGAAAUGAGAAUGUUCAUACAUUUGAAAGCCUUAACUUAUUCUAUGGUAACGUUGUAGCAGAAGGAGAAUAUACAUUGCCUGGUAUCAUGGAUAAGUUGGCAGUCUCGUCCAGCUUUUUCCAACGAAGCAAGAUGAUAGAACAGUUCAACCAGAAAAACACAUGGAAGAAAAGGGGCAUUUCUCGAGUACCAGCUGUGUACAAUGCUUUGCAACGACCGACACCAGGAAAAGUGAGUAUUCUGCAAGAUGGAUCAAUUGUUGUGGAGGUUGGAGGGGUUGAUGUUGGCCAAGGGCUAUGGACAAAGGUUAGACAGAUGACUGCCUAUGCUCUCGGUUCAAUCAAAAGUAGUUGGGCCGAACACCUUGUCGAGAAAGUACGAGUCAUACAAGCAGACACCUUAAGUGUAGUGCAAGGUGGAUUAACGGCUGGAAGCACCACAUCGGAAUCAAGCUGUGCAGCUGUUAAACUUUGCUGUGAUAUCUUGGUUGAAAGACUGACCCCUUUGAAGAAACAGUUGCAGGAAAAAAAUGUUUCUGUUGAUUGGCCAAUGCUGAUUCGCCAGGUUUGUUUUCGACGCUGCAAGACACACUUCUCAGUCAGUCACUUUCGGUUUUCUGGAUUGCUUUUUGAAAUCACUGUGAACUUGUUUUCUUAAGAUGUUCUCAUUGCAAGCCUUAUCAUCAAUGAUUACCUUGUUCUUAUAAACAUUUCGCCUCAUCCAAACAGAACUCUUGAUGGAACUAGUCAGAAGAUAAUAUACUCUGAAGUCAUAUUUGAUAUCAUUUUUCUUCUUUUGCAGGCACAAACACAAUCAAUAAACUUAGCAGCAAAUUCUUAUUAUGUGCCAGAAUUCUUGAGGUAUUUGACCUUCGGCGCUGCUGUCAGUGAGGUAAACUUGUUACUCCUAUCAGUUUUUCUUGUUCCAUGCCUCAGUCUGCUACUUUAAAGAAGAUUCCCCUUUCAAUACAUAGAGAAGAUCAUCAAGAUUUUGCUGAAUUUAUUCCAAGAACUUAGUUCGAAUCAGUAUAUCGGAAUAUCAAUACUGAUUGGAAUAUCAGCACUGAUCCGAUCAAGCUCUCUUAUUGAGAAUGAUCAUAUACUAUGCCUCGAAGAGGACUCGAACCUCCACCCGCUUAAGAAAUUGAGUCUCGUGUGUAUCAUUUCACCACCAAGAUAUCUUGAAAGUGAAUCGUAUGCAAUGACUAUCAAUUUUCAAUAUAUAUGAGUGCACAACACUCGGCAGGGGAACUCCGGUUGUGGACCACUUUGCAGCCAAUAUAUCUUCAUAUGGAUAAGUAAAAAAUAGAACUCUUUUUUGCAGGUGGAGAUAGAUGUUCUGACUGGAGAGACUACCAUUUUGCAGUCGGAUAUUAUUUACGACUGCGGACAGAGCUUGAAUGCAGCUGUUGAUUUGGGACAGGUUCUUCCCUUCAUUGCAGAUUCGCUUAUACAAUUAAGAGAUGCAUCAUACACUCGAACCGUAUUCAAACUUCAGAACUAUCUGCUUCUUAAUCACAAGAUUGUUCAUAACUGUGGUGAUUGUUUUUCUUUUCCUUGCUACAGAUUGAAGGAGCUUUCGUACAAGGAAUCGGAUUUUUCAUGAACGAAGAAUAUGUUACUAAUGAAGAUGGGUUAAUGGUCUCAAAUAGCACUUGGACAUACAAGAUCCCAACUAUUGACACCAUACCCCAGAAUUUCAAUGUUCAUCUCGUAAACAGUGGACAUCACGAACAACGUGUUCUCUCAUCCAAAAGUAAAACUCUUUUCUUCAUUUCCUUUAGCUUUACCAUGUGUCAUAUGAGUUCUCCAUGUUCUUGAGUUCACAGGAACGCAAUAACUUUUGUCCAGACUUUGUAUAGAUAUAUCGAGAAAUCAACUAAAUAUCUAUAAAUACUUGUUAGUGAACUAUGUUAUUAUUGUAUAUAUACUAACUUGAGCUCAAUGCAGGAACAUAUAAACUUCAAAUUCUGAAUUUGCUUUAGUUCAUACAAACCGUUGAAUCUUAUUAUAAUCAACUUUUUUGCAGCAUCUGGUGAACCACCACUGUUUCUGGCAGCUUCGGUCCAUUGUGCAACAAGGGCAGCCAUAAGAGCAGCACGUGAACAGCUCAAACGUUGGGACAAGCUCAACGAGUCUGCUUCAGAAUUCUAUCUAGAUGUCCCUGCAAUAUUACCAGUUGUGAAGACACAGUGUGGCCUGGAUUAUGCAGAGAAGUUCGUAGAAACUUUGCUGGCUCGGUAAUCAACUUUUUUGCAGCAUCUGGUGAACCACCGCUGUUUCUGGCAGCUUCGGUCCAUUGUGCAACAAGAGCAGCACGUGAACAGCUCAAACGCUGGGACUAGCUCGACGAGUCUGCUUCAGAAUUCUAUCUAGAUGUCACUGCAAUAUUACCAGUUGUGAAGACACAGUGUGGCCUGGAUUAUGCGGAGAAGUUCGUAGAAACUCUGCUGGCUCGGUUGUCAACGUGCUUCAAAUGAUACUAAGCUAUGUUUCUCAGACUCUCUAGAAUGUUGUCGCACUCGUGUCGAGUCCUCGAAAAAUAAAUAUUACUUUGUGAGGAUCUGACAUGCACCGUGAGGCCUUUUCGAAAAGAUCACAAUCAAUUCCAUGAUGAUUGAGCUUAUGAUGAUCACAAUCAAUUCCAUGAGCUGUAUUUUAUUAGAUUGUAUUCUAAUAAAAUGAUAUUGUCCAUUUUUACAUGUCCACUUGUAAUUGAGUUUAUUAUAUAUAUAUUCAAAGGAUGAUAUAGUAAAAUUUAUUAGGUCUGAUGAUGAGUUUCUUUAGAAACUGAAGUCAUUCCUUAAGCAUAACUUAUGGAAUAUCACUACAACAAAAAUAACUUUAAGCGGCUAUAAAUAAACACAUUAAUAAAGAGCGCCAAAGUUUUUAUCGAUAUUAGUUUAGUGUCAUUGGAUCCAAAACCUUUAGGACAUAUACAAAGAGUGCUAAUUGCCGCUAAAAAUACGUCUUAAGCGGAAAUUAUAGCAAUUGCCGCUGAAGCUCAUUUUUGAUGUAGUGCACUACAACAAAAAUGUCGCUAAAUAGCGGCAAUUGACACUCCUUGUAUAUGUCCCUAAAGCCUUUAGCGACAUUGGUUCUAAUGACACUAAACUAAUGCCGAUAAAAACUUUAGCACUCUUUAUUAAUAUCAAUAUUUAAUGUCGCUUAAAGUUAUUUUAUCGUAGUAACACAAAAUAAUUGCUAUCCCUAUCAAAUCCUCUUGCCUUUGGGGUCCAUGAAACCUUAUAUGACUUUAUAAUAUAACUAAUCAUUAUAAGCAAGAAAAUAUUUGAACUAAUAUAUUACGUACUAUUUUAUGUUUGACCAUAUUGUGCAUUUAUGUGACAAACUUUAGUGUUAAAAUCUAACUAUUUCAAGAUUCUUGGUUUUUCUCUGAACAGUUUCUGAUAUAAAGUUCAUUUGUUAAUUCAUGGGAUAAUGCAUAAGUAUCUUUUAAUUUAUGUUCGAAAUUUUAAAGACACACUUAUAUUAUAUUAAGGUCUUAUUACUUUUUAAACUUAUAUUAUUAAUAAUUUUCUACUCCUUUUCGAUCUACGUGGCACUAUCUUGUGGGUCCAACGCUGAUUGAUUUUUUUUUUCCAGGUUAGUGCCACGUAGGCUAAAAAGGAGUAGAAAAUUACUUAUAAAAUAAGUUCAGACGGUAAUAAGACAUUACUAUAGUAUAAUUGUGUCUAUGAAAUUUCGAGCAUAGAAUGAGGGUGUACUUGUGUAUUUUCCCUUAAUCUGUCUAAUAUCAAUCUCAGUGUAAAUUUAGAGAUUGUAUAACAAAAAGAUAAUAAUACUCUCUUCGUCUCAAUUUAUAUGAGAUUAUAGAUAUUUGCGUGCUAUAAAUUAUUUCACUGCAGGUAAAAUAUGGAUUGUAAAAUUAAAUUGCUACUAAACAAAAAAAAUGAAAAAAAAUUUCGGACAGACUAAUUAAAUUAGGACAAGUGACUAUAGUAUUAGUUGAAUUUUAGAUGAUUAAUAGAGAAAUUAAGAGGAUUGAGUGAAUUAGAAGUUACAUUGGGAGGUAGCUUUAGUGAUAAAUAAUUAAAUCUCUUUAAAAAUAGGAAGAUAUUUUUUUUUGACUUUUUUAAAAAAAAUUAAAAUAUUCAUCCCACAUGUUUAGUGAAUGAAAUAACUAUUUUCAGCUGAAUAAUUCAGCUUAUUAUGAUCACAAUCAAUUCCAUGAGCUGUAUUGAAUGACAUUUCACACGUUUAGUAGGUUGAUGGACAAUAUCUGAUCUUUUUAUUUUUUUUUAUUAUUUGAUAAUUCGGAUUAAAAAUUUAAGUUUAAAAGUUAUCAAUAAAAAGUAUUUUAAUGAUAAUCUUGAUUAGUUGGACCAGUAAUAUUGAAUAUUAUAUAAAGAGGGAUAGUGGAUGGGAUGUGAUCUCUCCACUUUUCAAUUUUGUCGGUUGGAAUAAUUAAUACGAUAUAAGACUGAUUUUAUUAAUAAAAAAUAUGUUAAAAUACUAACGCAAGGGAUGUGAGCCCUAAAUAAAAGGAAACAACUUAUAUGAUUUCGAUUUAUUUUUAUCAAAAAAAAAAAUUCACUAGAUAAUCAAACAAGUAAAUCCACCCUAAAAUUUAUUGAAUAUCUUCCGAACACGCAAUGUAUAUCUUUUAAAUAAAAUAAAGAAGACUCAUUUAUAUUAUCGGUUGAAAGUUUGACUCUAUGUCAUUUCCGUUUAAGAAAAUAUUCAUGCAAAAUUAGAAUUAUUUUUUUCUUUUUAAAUAAUGACAUGGAUAAAUCUUUUCAAAUAACUUUUUUAAAACGAAUAACAUAAAUAUAUCUUUUAUGAAAGUUCGAUACAUAUUUAAAUUUUUUUCCGAAAAUGAAAAGGUUUGGCUGAAAGAAAGAUAACAUCACAACAUGUAAAGCACAUGCAAAGGCAUAAAGAAGAUUUCUCUUUAAUGUAUAAUCUAUAAAUAGAUAGAGAGAAGUAGGAAAGUAAUUACAUUAAAUUAUACUCUAAUAAUUAGACCUUCUAUAAUAAUUAUGACAUGGUCGAUUUAAAUUGGUUGAAUUUUUCUCAAUCAUACUUUGAAAAUAUUUUCUUCAAAAUAAUAUCACAUUUUACAAUAGUAAUUUCAAUAAUUUUGAAAAAGAUAAGAUUUUUAAGAAAAUAUAUCUGUUGAUUUUUUUAUAUUGAAAUUUUCAUUAGUUAUGUUUGCGUAGAUUAUAUAAUUACAAUUUUUCAUUUAAAUGUAUUUAAAAUAAUGAUUUUAAAAAAAACAAAAUAAUCUUUCAACUUUUGAAUGUUAUUAAUUAGAGGAUGCGUUUAGUAUGAAAAAAAAUAUAAUUUUUUUUAGAGACAAGUGUCAAAAAUACAUUGAACUAUAUUGACUUUUUUUUAGUUUCAUACGUAAAUUACUAUUAAGAGUGUGAAUAAAACCUUCAUCAUAUGACAUUAAUGCCGACCUCUAGAGGUUGAAAUUAAAUAGCGACCAAGUUUUUACCUAUCUAAGAUGGGAGGUCACUUUUUGAUCGGUAUUUCAGGAAAUACACCGACCUUCGGAGAUUGAUAUUCACCAUUUUUUUGGUCGUGAUUCCAUAUGAAUAAAAUAUUACAUCUUGAAUUUUUUCUCAAACAGUAAUAUAUUGAUAAAUUAAAUUUUUUAAAAGUUCAAUAAUAUAUUUGAACAUUUUCCUUCAAAUAAAAGUACUUGUUGGGAAGAUUGAUAACAUCACAACAUGUAAAGCACAAGUAAGGGCAUUAAAAAAAAGAUCUCUUUUAUCUUUUACCUAUAAAUAGAAGUGUGGAAAUAGUAAUCUUAAAUUAGUAUAAAGUCCUUCACUUAAUAACUAUAAUUAUGACCUGAGUGGUUCAAAAUUAAAAGUUGGAAAUAUUUUCUUUUGAAAAAUAAUCAUCACAUUUUACAUAAUUGUGGGUUUUCAUUUUCCCUUAAUAAUGUAGCAUAAAGUUAUUUGUGUUAAAGGUCAAGUUGGUGGGAUACCCCAAUUUUUAUAAUUCAAGAUUCUAAUAAUUGUGAUAUUUUUCAGCUCAUUUUGUAGAAGAAAAGUUGAAAAAGAUAAGAUUUUUGAUAAAGGGUAUGUGUCAAAGUUAAUCAUUUCAGCUAUCAAAGAAUCUUGAUUUAAGAAGCAUUGGUGUUAUAGAGUAAGCAUUUGGACACCCAAUGAUCAACAUUCUUGAUUUUUCUUUCAGUUGUGAUAUUUUUUUAGCUCAGUAUGUAGAAGAAAAGUUGAAAAAGAUAAGAUUUUUGAUAAAGGGUAUGUGUCUAAAUGAACUGUUUAAGCUAUCUAUGAAUCUUGAUUUAAGAAUCAUUGGUGUUAUAGAGUAAGCAUUUGGACACCCAAUGAUCAAGAUUCUUGAUUUUUCUUUCAGUUGUGAUAUUUUUUUAGCUCAGUAUGUAGAAGAAAAGUUGAAAAAGAUAAGAUUUUUAAUAAAGGGUAUGUGUCUAAGUGAACUGUUUAAGCUAUCUAUGAAUCUUGAUUUACGAAGCAUUGGUGUUAUAAAGUAAGCAUUUGGACACCCAAUGAUCAAGAUUCUUGAUUUUUCUUUCAGUUGUGAUAUUUUUUUUAGCUCAGUAUGUAGAAGAAAAGUUGAAAAAGAUAAGAUUUUUAAUAAAGGGUAUGUGUCUAAAUGAACUGUUUAAGCUAUCUAUGAAUCUUGAUUUAAGAAUCAUUGGUGUUAUAGAGUAAGCAUUUGGACACCCAAUGAUCAAGAUUCUUGAUUUUUCUUUCUGUUGUGAUAUUUUUUUAGCUCAGUAUGUAGAAGAAAAGUUGAAAAAGAUAAGAUUUUUAAUAAAGGGUAUGUGUCUAAGUGAACUGUUUAAGCUAUCUAUGAAUCUUGAUUUACGAAGCAUUGGUGUUAUAAAGUAAGCAUUUGGACACCCAAUGAUCAAGAUUCUUGAUUUUUCUUUCAGUUGUGAUAUUUUUUUUAGCUCAGUAUGUAGAAGAAAAGUUGAAAAAGAUAAGAUUUUUGAUAAAGGGUAUGUGUCAAAGUUAACUGUUUCAGCUAGCAAUGAACUUAAACUAUUCAAGAUUCUUGCUUUUUUCUUUCAUUUCUGUUAUUUUUCAGCUCAGUAGGUUGAAAAAAAGUUGAAAAAGAUGAGAUUUUUGAUAAAGGGUGUGUGUCAAAGUUAACUUCUUCAGUGUUUCAGCUAGCCAAGAAUCAUGAUUGAAAAAGCUUUUAGACAUCCAAUUCAAUGAUUCUUUUUUUUCAGUUCUGGUAAUAUUUCAGCUCAGUAUAUAGAAAAAUUUUGAAAAAGAUUGAGAUUUUUGAUAAAGGGUAUGUGUCAAAGUCAACUGCUGUCAGUGUUAUAGCUAGAUAAGAAUUUUGAUUCAAGAAGCUUUUGUGUUAAAAAGUCAAGUUUUUGGAUACCAAAUUUGUAUAAUUCAAGAUUCUAGUUUUUUUUUUCUAAUUCUGGUAAUUGUUCAGCUCAGUAAGAGAAAAAAGUUGAAAAAAUGUGUCAUUGCUUCAGCUAGCCAAGAAUCUUGAUCUAAGAAGCUUUUGUGUAAAAAGUCAAGCUUUGGACACCCAAUUCAAGAUUCUUGUUUUUUUUUUCCAGUUCUGGUAAUUUUUCAGCUCUGUAAGUUGAAAAAAGUUGAAAAAGACUAGAUUUUUGGUGAAAGGUAUGUGUCAAAGUUAACUGCUUCAGUAUUACAGCUAGCCAAGAAUUUUUUAUUCAACAAUCUUGUGUUAAAAAGUCAAGUUUUUGGACUCCUAAUUCAAUUCAAGAUUCAGUUUCUUCUUUCACUUCUGAUAUUUUAAAAGACAAUAUUUUUUUGUGAAGGAGCUAACCAUAGAAUUUUGAUUUUAAGGAGGCUAUUGUAGUAAUGGAGGAAAGACAGAAAAAGGGGAAUUUGGUGUUUGCAGUUAAUGGAGAGAGGUUUGAGUUGCCAUCCGUUGAUCCUUCGACAACUUUGCUUCACUUCUUGCGCUCGGAGACUUGUUACAAGAGUCCUAAGCUUGGUUGUGGUGAAGGUAAUGAAUGAUCUUCUUUUCUUUCACCACUCUGUUACAUGUAUAAAUAUGUUUUUCUUUUUGAAAAACCGUGGUGUUCAAGCCUGUUUGUAUGUCUCGACUAGUCUCAAGGGUAGCUUGUUCAUCUCCCACCAUCCCACCAACACAACAUUGGGUAACUCUGUGUGUCAAGGCUUGGACAAAUAAGAAGAAAUAUCUAGUGUUUGUUGAAAUUUGAACCUGAGAUCUCAUGAUCUUAAUCUUCCUAGCGUAUACAAUACGUUUGUUUUUGGUGCUAUUAUAUAAUUAAGAAGCUUUGAAUUUCCUUAUAUUUGUGUUCUUAUGUCCAAUGUUCAUGGAAUUUGAUAAAUUCUAGUGUACUUCUCUUACGCACCCGUCAUAUGCAGAAAGCUUAUGAUAACUUAUUAGGAAUUCCUUUGAUGCUUUUUGACAUCUCUGCAUUUCUGUGCUACUUAAGCCUUUCAUGUCCAUUGAAGGGUGUGAUGGAACGGUAAAGAUUCUUUCACCUCUAAAAAAAGUCUCUGGUUUCAAGUGUUGGGAGUAGGACACUGUAUUUAAUUGUUUCCAGUAAAUGAAAUCUUUCAUUAUGUUAGAGGAUGAUCUGCUUAUAUGGACUUGCGCAAUCCCUCUCCCCCCCCCCCCAAUGAGAUAGUUUCUUGGGUUGACUUAAGCUUAGGUCAUAUCUUUACAUGGUAUCAUAGUUAGGUUCAUCCCUAUUUGGGCUCCUAAUCCGUGCUUCAGUUGGGCUUAGGCAUGAAGGGGGUGUUAGAGUGGGUUAAAAUGCCACACUAAUUGGGGAAUCGACUAGUGGUCUGCUUAUAUAGACUUGAGCAACCAUCCCCUCACGAGCUAGCUUUUGGGGUGGAGUUAUACCAUGUAUUACAUGAAUUUGUUUUUUUGUGUGGUGGGGGAUAGAAUCUUGCAUUGGUUUAUAUGGACUUGCACAAACUUCCCCUCAGGAGCUAGCUUUUGGGGACGGUGGUUAGGCUCAAGUACCAUAUUUUUACAAUAGCAAAAUUUUAGUUUUAGGUUUCACCAUAUGUAAUUGAUUUACAUACUAAGCUAACUUCAGCAGCUUCGGAGAGUAGAAUUACUUUUGUGGUACAAUGAAGUAAAAUAAAUAGCUUUUAUUGAGUAGUUUUUUUUUCAAUGUAGUUUACUCAUUAAAUGAGAUAUCGUAUUCCUGUUGGCUGACUUCAGUUAGACUAUGAAAUACUGCUUCUUAAGUCUUUUAGAGGGGUAUAUUUCUUCAUCGUCCGUCUAUAAUCUGAUUAAGUAUUUGGUAACAAAUGCACAAUUUUGGGUUCAAAAGGAACAUAAUUUAUUUGUAUGCGUACAGGUGGUUGUGGAGCUUGUGUUGUUCUGAUCUCAAAGUAUGAACCGAAGUUUAAAAAGGUGGAAGAUUUUAGUGCAAGUUCGUGCCUUACACUUCUUUGUAGUUUAAAUGGUUGUUCAAUUACUACAAGUGAAGGCCUUGGGAACACCAGAGAUGGUUUUCACUCUAUUCAUGAAAGAUUUGCCGGUUUCUAUGCUUCUCAAUGCGGCUUUUGCACUCCUGGCCUGUGUAUGUCACUUUUCUCAGCUCUCGUCAACGCUGAUAAAGGAAACAAACCCAAUCCUCCACCAGGAUUCUCUAAGCUUACUUCAUCUGAAGCUGAAAAUGCCAUAGCGGGAAACCUUUGUCGGUGCACUGGCUACCGGCCCAUUGCUGAUGCCUGCAAGACUUUUGCUGCUGAUAUUGAUAUAGAGGAUUUGGGGUUCAAUUCUUUUUGGAAAAAGGGAGACUCCAAGGAAAUGAAAGUAAGUAAAUUACCUCCCUAUGAUCCAACCAAGAAUUUUAGUACAUAUCCUGAGUUCUUAAAAAGUGAAUCCGCCACGAAUUUGGACUCCUCAAAGUACCCUUGGUACAGUCCUGUUUCCAUUAAGGAGCUAUGGAGCUUGUUGAACUUCAAUGUGACGGUAAAUCGUGGAAGCUUUAAACUUGUCGUUGGGAAUACCGGCACAGGUUAUUAUAAGGAAACUCAGCGAUAUGAUCAUUAUGUCGAUCUCAGGCACAUUCCUGAACUCUCAAUCAUCAAAAGAGAUCAGACAGGCAUUGAAGUUGGAGCAACUGUGACUAUCUCUAAAUUCAUCUCAGUCUUGAAAGAGGAAAGUCAUAUCAAUUUGGGUUCAUAUGGGAAGUUGGUAUCCCAAAAAUUGGCUGACCACAUGGAGAAGAUUGCUUCACCAUUUGUUAGAAACUCUGCUAGUGUGGGAGGAAAUUUGGUCAUGGCACAGAAGAAUGGUUUUCCUUCUGAUAUCGCUACACUACUUCUCGGGCUUUCUGCUACUGUUAGCUUGAUGACCAGUCAUGGACCUGAAAACCACACAUGGGAGGAGUUAUUAUCAAGACCACCACUAGACUCAAAGACUGUGCUUCUAAGUGUUUGCAUCCCAUUUAAGAAAGAUCAAAGUUCUCACCAAACUCAUUCUAGAUUUUUGUUUGAAACCUAUCGAGCUGCUCCACGACCUCAUGGGAAUGCAUUGGCAUAUGUAAAUGCUGCGUUCCAGGCUGAUGUUUCUCACUGCAAUAACGGCGUCCUUAUAAACAAUAUCUAUUUGGCAUUUGGUGCAUAUGGCACAAAACAUGCAACAAGGGCUAAAAAGGUAGAAGAAUGU
This 13383-nucleotide long non-coding RNA is filed under the name Solanum lycopersicum (tomato). RNAcentral's name for it is "long non-coding RNA (SLYC_LNC000970)". Lineage: Eukaryota; Viridiplantae; Streptophyta; Magnoliopsida; Solanales; Solanaceae. The record is from RNAcentral.